This 89-nucleotide transfer RNA is filed under the name bacterium. Its description in RNAcentral is "tRNA-Ser". It matches the Rfam family "tRNA". From Rfam's summary of the family: Transfer RNA (tRNA) molecules are approximately 80 nucleotides in length. Their secondary structure includes four short double-helical elements and three loops (D, anti-codon, and T loops). The record is from RNAcentral.
GGUGGGGUCGCAUAGCGGACUAGUGCGGCGGUCUUGAAAACCGCUGUCUCGAGCGAUCGGGACCGUGGGUUCGAAUCCCACCCCCACCG